This 468-nucleotide ribosomal RNA is filed under the name uncultured bacterium. Its description in RNAcentral is "partial 16S ribosomal RNA". It matches the Rfam family "Bacterial small subunit ribosomal RNA", at positions 28 to 507 of the family's 1533-position model. The record is from RNAcentral.
GACGAACGCUGGCGGCGUGCUUAACACAUGCAAGUCGAACGGAAAGGCCCUGCUUUUGUGGGGUGCUCGAGUGGCGAACGGGUGAGUAACACGUGAGUAACCUGCCCUGGACUUUGGGAUAACUUCAGGAAACUGGGGCUAAUACCGGAUAGGAGCUCCUGCUGCAUGGUGGGGGUUGGAAAGUUUCGGCGGUUGGGGAUGGACUCGCGGCUUAUCAGCUUGUUGGUGGGGUAGUGGCUUACCAAGGCUUUGACGGGUAGCCGGCCUGAGAGGGUGACCGGCCACAUUGGGACUGAGAUACGGCCCAGACUCCUACGUGAGGCAGCAGUGGGGAAUAUUGCACAAUGGGCGGAAGCCUGAUGCAGCAACGCCGCGUGCGGGAUGACGGCCUUCGGGUUGUAAACCGCUUUCGCCUGUGACGAAGCGUGAGUGACGGUAAUGGGUAAAGAAGCACCGGCUAACUACGUG